Cricetulus griseus (Chinese hamster) is the source of this 864-nucleotide non-coding RNA. NCBI's taxonomy places the organism in Eukaryota, Metazoa, Chordata, Mammalia, Rodentia, Cricetidae. The record is from RefSeq and is a predicted model, not a curated record.
GACGGUGGCAUGGUCCUCAGCCGGGCUGAGGCCGAUGGGUUCAGCGCCCCCUGGCGCCCAUUUCCGGAACUUGCAUUUGUGGCAUGUUUUUUAGGCGCUAGCAAUCUUCGUGGUCAUUUAUCUCUACAUUCAUUUGCAACAGUUUAUAUCAAACAUCUCCUCUCUUAGAUUAUUUUCCUUGUUUUUUUCUUCUUUCGCUGUGCCAGGGAUCAAAACCACCGCUUCAUCUAUGCUAAGCAAGUCCUCCACCACUAAGCUAAAUCUAAGCCUUGUCCUCUUCAAGAACAUCUCUCAGGCACCAGACAAGAUCCACUGUCAGUGGCCCUUUAUGGCUCCUAUCACACAGUAGACGUUCUGUCUUGACAUGGAAAGAUCUAGCUGCUCCUGUAUCCAGAUAUGAAGAAAAUGCAGCAGAAAACUUCAAUUGGGUUCUAUCCCUUCCACAUGGAUGGCCAGGCUACGAGCUGCUUCUUCAAGAAAACCCUGGGGUUUCUUGAUCUCCAAUCAAGAACUGAAAAAAACUUACUUGUGGCUCAUGUGGAGCUGGUGAAAAGGAGGGAAGCAGGGAUUGGAGGGUAGAAAGCAAGGAGGUUCUAGGAUUAGGAGUACACACCAGGACACCUGGCUCACAGACUCUUCCAAUCCUUACCACUAAGAAACCCAGUGUUCAGAAGGCUGCUGUUCUGAAAUGGAUCCCCAGGUCCAGUGAUUCACAGGAAACCAUCUCUCAUCGCCCAAGUGCAGAGUCACCCUCCUCACAGGAAACUCAGAACUCAUGGAAAAAAGUCAAAUAAUCUACUAUACACUUUUUCUUUUUUUGAGAAACAGAAUAGAUUCUGUUGAUUUUUAUUUUCAGUUGGAUCA